Molecule: ribosomal RNA, 425 nt
Filed under: uncultured bacterium
Lineage: Bacteria
Description: bacterial SSU rRNA
Rfam family: Bacterial small subunit ribosomal RNA
Source: RNAcentral
AUUGAACGCUGGCGGCAUGCCUUACACAUGCAAGUCGAACGGCAGCACGGGAGCAAUCCUGGUGGCGAGUGGCGAACGGGUGAGUAAUAUAUCGGAACGUGCCCGGUCGUGGGGAUAACGUAGCGAAAGCUACGCUAAUACCGCAUACGAUCUAUGGAUGAAAGCGGGGGAUCGCAAGACCUCGCGCGAUUGGAGCGGCCGAUAUCAGAUUAGGUAGUUGGUGAGGUAAAGGCUCACCAAGCCGACGAUCUGUAGCUGGUCUGAGAGGACGACCAGCCACACUGGGACUGAGACACGGCCCAGACUCCUACGGGAGGCAGCAGUGGGGAAUUUUGGACAAUGGGCGCAAGCCUGAUCCAGCCAUGCCGCGUGCAGGAUGACGGUCCUAUGGAUGUAAACUGCUUUGUACGAGAAGAAACAACAUU